RNAcentral lists this ribosomal RNA (301 nucleotides) under uncultured bacterium. RNAcentral's name for it is "partial 16S ribosomal RNA". It matches the Rfam family "Bacterial small subunit ribosomal RNA", at positions 509 to 807 of the family's 1533-position model. The record is from RNAcentral.
CAGUAACCGCGGUAAUACCGAGGGUGCGAGCGUUAAUCGGAUUUACUGGGCGUAAAGCGUGCGUAGGCGGCUUUUUAAGUCGGAUGUGAAAUCCCUGAGCUUAACUUAGGAAUUGCAUUCGAUACUGGGAAGCUAGAGUAUGGGAGAGGAUGGUAGAAUUCCAGGUGUAGCGGUGAAAUGCGUAGAGAUCUGGAGGAAUACCGAUGGCGAAGGCAGCCAUCUGGCCUAAUACUGACGCUGAGGUACGAAAGCAUGGGGAGCAAACAGGAUUAGAUACCCGCGUAGUCCCUGUCUCUUAUAC